GGACGCAAGUCUGAUGGAGCAACGCCGCGUGAGUGAAGAAGGCUUUCGGGUCGUAAAACUCUGUUGUUGGAGAAGAAUGGUCGGCAGAGUAACUGUUGUCGGCGUGACGGUAUCCAACCAGAAAGCCACGGCUAACUACGUGCCAGCAGCCGCGGUAAUACGUAGGUGGCAAGCGUUAUCCGGAUUUAUUGGGCGUAAAGCGAGCGCAGGCGGUUUUUUAAGUCUGAUGUGAAAGCCCUCGGCUUAACCGAGGAAGCGCAUCGGAAACUGGGAAACUUGAGUGCAGAAGAGGACAGUGGAACUCCAUGUGUAGCGGUGAAAUGCGUAGAUAUAUGGAAGAACACCAGUGGCGAAGGCGGCUGUCUGGUCUGUAACUGACGCUGAGGCUCGAAAGCAUGGGUAGCGAACAGGAUUAGAUACCCUGGUAGUCCAUGCCGUAAACGAUGAAUGCUAGGUGUUGGAGGGUUUCCGCCCUUCAGUGCCGCAGCUAACGCAUUAAGCAUUCCGCCUGGGGAGUACGACCGCAAGGUUGAAACUCAAAGGAAUUGACGGGGGCCCGCACAAGCGGUGGAGCAUGUGGUUUAAUUCGAAGCAACGCGAAGAACCUUACCAGGUCUUGACAUCUUUUGAUCAC
This 634-nucleotide ribosomal RNA is filed under the name Lacticaseibacillus paracasei. Its description in RNAcentral is "bacterial SSU rRNA". It matches the Rfam family "Bacterial small subunit ribosomal RNA", at positions 373 to 998 of the family's 1533-position model. Lineage: Bacteria; Bacillati; Bacillota; Bacilli; Lactobacillales; Lactobacillaceae. The record is from RNAcentral.